RNAcentral lists this ribosomal RNA (253 nucleotides) under uncultured bacterium. RNAcentral's name for it is "partial 16S ribosomal RNA". It matches the Rfam family "Bacterial small subunit ribosomal RNA", at positions 524 to 776 of the family's 1533-position model. The record is from RNAcentral.
UACGUAGGGGGCAAGCGUUGUCCGGUAUCAUUGGGCGUAAAGCGCGUGUAGGCGGUUCGGUAAGUCUGCUGUGAAAGUCCAGGGCUCAACCCUGGGAUGCCGGUGGAUACUGUCGGACUAGAGUACGGAAGAGGCGAGUGGAAUUCCCGGUGUAGCGGUGAAAUGCGCAGAUAUCGGGAGGAACACCUAUGGCGAAGGCAGCUCGCUGGGACGUUACUGACGCUGAGACGCGAAAGCGUGGGGAGCAAACAGG